GUGUCAGCCGCCGCGGUAAGACGGAGGGUGCAAACGUUGUUCGGAUUCACUGGGCAUAAAGCGCACGUAGGCGGCUCGUUUAGUCAGUUGUGAAAUCCCCCGGCUCAACCGGGGAAUGGCAUCUGAUACUGGCGGGCUCGAGGUCGGUAGGGGUGAGCGGAACUCCAGGUGGAGCGGUGAAAUGCGUAGAUAUCUGGAGGAACACCGGUGGCGAAAGCGGCUCACUAGGCCGACACUGACGCUAAGGUGCGAAAGCUAGGGUAGCAAACGGGAUUAGAAACCCCCGUAGUCC
Molecule: ribosomal RNA, 292 nt
Filed under: uncultured bacterium
Lineage: Bacteria
Description: partial 16S ribosomal RNA
Rfam family: Bacterial small subunit ribosomal RNA
Source: RNAcentral